UUCCGGUUGAUCCUGCCGGAGUCAGCUGCUAUGGGAUUCGGACUAAGUCGUGCAAGUCAAGGCACCACCUGUGGUGUCUGGCGCAAAGCUGAGUAACGAGUAGAGAAUCUAUCCUAAGGUGGAAGAUAACCUCGGCAAAAUGAGGCUAAACUUCCAUAACCGCCCUAUGUUGGAAUACUUGGGCGGUAAAAGGAGUACAAGCAUGGUUGUGCACGCCUUAGGGCGACUCUGCUUCCGAUUAGCUAAUAUGUGGGGUAACGGCCGCACGUAGGCGAGGAUCGGUAGGGGUCGUUAGAGCGAUAACCCCCAGAUGGACACUGAGACAAUUGUCCAGGGCCUAUGGGUCGCAGCAGGCGCGAAAACUGUACAAUGCACGAAAGUGUGAUACGGUGAAUCCCAGUCCUAGCCUCACGGUUAGGUUUUGUCUAGUGUGAAUAUCUAGACGAAUAAGGAGAGGGCAAGAACGGUGCCAGCCGCCGCGGUAAAACCGUCUCUUCGAGUGGCUGACAUGUUUACUGGGCCUAAAGCAUUCGUAGCGGGACAGGUAUGUCCAAGAUUAAAGCCGGCGACUCAAUCGUCUGAACUGUCUUGGAAACUGCUUGUCUUGGAAGUGGAAGAGGUGAUCCGUACUGUGGGAGUAUGGGUGAAAUCAUAUAAUACUCACAGGACGACCGAUGGCGAAGGCAGAUCACUGGGACACGUUCGACCGUGAUGGAUGAAAGCCAGGGUAGCGAGCCGGAUUAGAUACCCGGGUAGUCCUGGCCGUAAACGAUGCAUACUACGUGAUGGCACGGCCAUGAGCCGUGUCAGUGCCGUAGGGAAACCGUUAAGUGUGCCGCCUGGAAGUACGGUCGCAGGCUAAACUUAAGGAAUUGGCGGGGAGCACACAGGCGUGAGCUUGCGUCAAUUGAAUCAACGCG
Molecule: ribosomal RNA, 920 nt
Filed under: uncultured archaeon
Lineage: Archaea
Description: bacterial SSU rRNA
Rfam family: Archaeal small subunit ribosomal RNA
Source: RNAcentral